UUUUUGGGAAAUCUCAGGUUUAAAAAUUAACUACAGUAAACCCAGGUUGUAUGGAUUGGCAGUAUGAAAUACAGUCAGAAUGAACUUUGUACUAGCUUAAACUUAUCAUGGGGUAAACAUAAUUUUUCGUACCUUGGAAUAGACUUUGAUGUAGAUUUAUCAAAGAUGAUACGAUUAAAUUAUGAUAAAAAAAUAUUGGAGAUUGAAUCUCUUUUAAAGCAAUGGAGCAAGAGAAACUUAACUCCAAUUGGGCGUAUUACAGUGGUUAAAACAUUGGCAUUACCAAAGCUUAUCCAUCUGUUUUCAUCAUUGCCAAAUCCAGACUCCAGAUUUAUUCAAAAACUUGAUAACUUGUUUUAUAGUUUUGUUUGGCAAAAACCAGUUGGUAAAGUUAAGAGAGAGAAACAUUAGUGAAAGAUUAUUUUGAAGGGGUCUAAAAAUGAUUAGUUUGAAACCUUUCAUAAAAUCACUGAAAUGUACAUGGGUUAGAAGGUUGAUCAAUAAUAAAA
This 509-nucleotide long non-coding RNA is filed under the name Mytilus galloprovincialis (Mediterranean mussel). The record is from RNAcentral. Lineage: Eukaryota; Metazoa; Mollusca; Bivalvia; Mytilida; Mytilidae.